This 219-nucleotide long non-coding RNA is filed under the name Homo sapiens (human). RNAcentral describes it as "HSALNT0176940". Lineage: Eukaryota; Metazoa; Chordata; Mammalia; Primates; Hominidae. The record is from RNAcentral.
GGAACUUGGUCUGCUUCAGCCCAAGAGGAAUCAAAAGAUCAAAAGCAGUUUGGGAAGGCCAGAACCGUCAAGGGAUGGAGGGAGAAGGAAAAUCCAGGGGGUGUGGGGCUGCCAGAUGCUCCAGGCAGGGGGCCAGAAGGGGCUCACAAAGGCUUGCCCUCCAGGGAGAUGACGGCACUGCCCCCCAGCUUCUCUGCCAGGGUGCAGCGGUCCUUGACC